UACGUAGGGCGCAAGCGUUAUCCGGAAUUAUUGGGCGUAAAGAGCUCGUAGGCGGUUUGUUGCGUCUGCCGUGAAAGUCCGGGGCUCAACUCCGGAUCUGCGGUGGGUACGGGCAGACUAGAGUGAUGUAGGGGAGACUGGAAUUCCUGGUGUAGCGGUGAAAUGCGCAGAUAUCAGGAGGAACACCAGUGGCGAAGGCGCCGCUCUGGGCCGACACUGACGCUGAGGAGCGAAAGCGUGGGUAGCAAACAGG
RNAcentral lists this ribosomal RNA (253 nucleotides) under uncultured bacterium. RNAcentral describes it as "partial 16S ribosomal RNA". It matches the Rfam family "Bacterial small subunit ribosomal RNA", at positions 524 to 776 of the family's 1533-position model. The record is from RNAcentral.